Pelobates cultripes (western spadefoot toad) is the source of this 422-nucleotide non-coding RNA. The record is from the annotation of a GenBank genome assembly. NCBI's taxonomy places the organism in Eukaryota, Metazoa, Chordata, Amphibia, Anura, Pelobatidae.
AAAGUAGCAAAUCUUAUUUUUUCUUGUUCUUGCAUCUAAAGUUAAACCUUCCACAUAUAAGGCUGUUGUGAUACCAAGUGAAAACUAAUAGACCGAACAAAGCAGCACUCCCUUUAUUACAUGAUACUCCUCUUAAAUAAAAUAUUUAGUAAAAAUGGCAGACACCAAAUUAUAACACUGCCCUGCCUGACUCCACAUACUGACUGUGUCCUAUGGAGCAGAUUCACACAGCCCUGCUCUAUUCUAUUCUCAAUCUCCCAUUAUGUUUCCUCUUUUGACUCUGUCCUCCUAGCCGUUACAGUUGUUCGGUUCCUCUCCCCCACUCACUAAGGUAACCGCGCUCCACCAAGCGCACUACAAAACAUAACAUAGCAUUGGUUACUAUGUCGCCAUCGCCCACUACUGCCUUUUAAACCCCGCGU